AACACACCUGGUUAGCCUCUUU
Molecule: microRNA, 22 nt
Filed under: Oryctolagus cuniculus (rabbit)
Lineage: Eukaryota; Metazoa; Chordata; Mammalia; Lagomorpha; Leporidae
Source: RNAcentral